GAUGAACGCUAGCGGCAGGCUUAAUACAUGCAAGUCGAGGGGCAUCAAGGUACACGAAAGUGUAUUGUUGGCGACCGGCGGACGGGUGAGUAAUAGGUAGGUAACCUACCUCAUACUGAGGCAUAGCUGGGAGAAAUUCCAGGUAAUUCCUCAUGAGGUUAUAUGACACAUGUGAUAUAAUCAAAGGUAUCGCAAGGUACUGGUAUGAGAUGGGCUUACUGACCAUUAGCUAGUUGGUGAGAUAAGAGCUCACCAAGGCGAAGAUGGUUAGGGGUUUUGAGAGAGAGAUCCCCCACAUUGGAACUGAGAUACGGUCCAGACUCCUACGGGAGGCAGCAGUAGGGAAUAUUGGGCAAUGGGCGGAAGCCUGACCCAGCCAUGCCGCGUGAGUGAAGAAGGCCUCGGGUUGUAAAGCUCUUUCACGGUAGGAAAGAAGUACGGUACACUGGGUUAGUACCCUGUAGGUCCGGAAGUAGUAACGGUACCGGACCGACUAAGUAACGGACCGGACG
This 512-nucleotide ribosomal RNA is filed under the name uncultured bacterium. Its description in RNAcentral is "bacterial SSU rRNA". It matches the Rfam family "Bacterial small subunit ribosomal RNA", at positions 37 to 537 of the family's 1533-position model. The record is from RNAcentral.